This 7500-nucleotide long non-coding RNA is filed under the name Sorghum bicolor (sorghum). RNAcentral's name for it is "long non-coding RNA (SBIC_LNC012679)". Lineage: Eukaryota; Viridiplantae; Streptophyta; Magnoliopsida; Poales; Poaceae. The record is from RNAcentral.
UGGGCCUUUCUUCCUUAUUUCCGGAUAACCCCCUGCAGAAAUAGACAAACACCAAAACUCGUGGAAUUCUGUCAGAUAAAACCCUAAGUCUAGAUGUUGAUUUCAUUUGGAUCCUUUUCUUUGUUUAUUUGAUAAUUAAAUUUGAUACUUAAGGACCGUCAACAAACUCCCCCAAGCUUACCUCUUGCUCGUCCCUGAGCAAGGAUGAACUCAAGAGUUUCUGUUGUGGUUUCAUUUCUUAGAAGUACACACGCAUUUAAGCAAGAUCUCAUCUCUGAGUUAGAAUAAACUGUUAACACUUAAAACUUACUUACUUUACCUACACCAUAGGACUUGUAACCGUCACUUCUGUCUUGAGUGGUUAAAAGAUAGAACAGUCUAGCCAAGUGUCAUAUCUCUUAUUCUUGAUCAGCUAUAGCUCUGGGGUUUUUGCAGAUUUUCAAAUAAAACUCAGAAAUUCCUUGUAUGAUUCUCUCAGGUCUCUCUUUUGUGGUAUUUUUGGAUCCUUACCAAGGCAGUGAUGGUAUAUGCCUUCUCUCAAGAUAUGUAGUAUUUGUGGUAUGAAGCAUAGUGACAUUGUCUUCUCUCUCACCCUACUCUAAUAAGGCUUUAAUAUCUGGAGCUCAUAGGUGGGAGAUAAAGUAUACAUACUUACAAGACAUUUAUUGCAUAGUCAAACCAUGGAUCCAGAGAAACAAGUCAAUAAGUCAAAUCAAGAUGUGCAUGUGUGGCGAAUGUAUGGUGUAUGGUGAUGAUGGUGAUAACAAUGGUGAAAGUCUAAUUCUACUUUUGCUCUUUUAAGGGGAUACAUACCUUUCUUGCACUAAGAAGUUUUUUGGGGAGAAUGAGAUGCUCUAUAUUUUCUUUUUCUUACCUCUCAGGUGGGUAUCUUGUACCCCUAAUUCUACUAUCGGACACUUGUCCAUUUUUACCUCUCGUCUCACUUUUUCUUUUCUUCGAGGUUCCGGGCACUUGCCCCUUUUUAUUUCCUCGUAUAUUAUUUAUUUAUUUUUUUCUUCUUUUUUUUCUCUUUUUUUUUCUUUCUAGAGCACUCAUCUCCUGAAAUAAUGUACCAAGUGGUAGUAACAAAAAUAACUGGAGCAUUUAUUUCACAGGGAAUAACAGGGAUAGGAAAAUGUUUUUGGCUAUUCUCUCCCGGAUUAGGAGUAGAAUAAUUUUGGGUAAAACUGGAGAUAGAAAUGAGUGGAUAUAUGUGGAUGGUACUUCCGGAGUAGAAGUAGCAUGUAUGAGUAAUCGUGCAAGUGAAUCUUGAUUUUAACCACAUGACAAGCUCCUAAGGGUCUACACAGCUUGACCACACUCAAUGCUCAUAAGCAGUAAAUAGUAAAUGUGUGGCUCAAGGUCUAGCAUGCAUGUAUAUAUGGCUGUGGUAGGAAUUUAAACUCUCAUCAUACAUGAACUCAUCAUGCAACAUUUUAAAGAUUUUCAAAGAUAAAAUUCUCCAGAAUUCUAGCAUCUCUAGGAACAGAUAAAAAGCAGCUCAACCUUCCCAUAUCGUAUCCGUUAACAACUUAGACUUCAGCUCAAGUUUUCAUCCCACAAGUUUAGGUCUAGAGCAAGCCUUAAAUUAUAACAGUUAUAUCUAAACUUGAGAGAGAACUUCAAAUUUGCAAAUUAGGGAGAGCAACUAUUCAUCAUAUCCAUGCUUAAGUUUUAUUAGAUACAGAUUAGCAUAGCCACUUUAUUUAUUUAUUAAACAUACUAAGCAAAAUAUAUAUAAGCAUAAAAUCUUUAUUUGGUUUUUCAUAGUUAUGUGUAUUUAUUUUCUAAUAUAGUAUAAGUAUAAAGAUAGAUAGAAAUACUUAUCGAGAUAAAUGGGGGUGCUCUCCCCCAAGCUGAAUUUUGACGUAAUUUCUCUUGAUGUAGCUAGCAGGUGGCAGAGGUGUGUGUUGGGUAUUUUAAACGCAAACAGAAAAAUCCGCAAGCGCACGGAUACCGAUGUAGCUUUCACCCGGGAGUAUUCCAGAGUAUCGAUUUUCCACAGAGAACGUGAGUGUACUAAUUAAGAUCCAAGAUCGCCCAAGGAUAACUAUAUAAUUAUUUUUGGUGGGAAGAGAGGAAGUUUCGUGAGAGUUCUCUAGUUGAUCUAAGAAUCAAGAAUUACUUCAAGAUUAUCUAUAUCGGGACAUCAGAGCACUAACCACAGAAAGAGAUGAGAAGGGGGCUAGGAAGGUCUGACUACGGUCCUACAAACACCGAUCCGAACGUGGUGGAAUACGUCGACCGUUAGGACUGUCACUACCCUAGGGCUACCACAACAAUCCGUAGGAUUGGGUGCAAUUCCAGGUAAUCGCAAGACUAAACACCACGUCUAAUCUAUUAAUUACUACUCUAGCAUUAUAAAGACUAGAGCACUUGAUGCAAGCGGGAAUCCAAUAAAUAACUUGAAUGUAAAUAAAAGUAAUUAAAGGACUCAGGAAUUAUGAGUUGAAGAACCUGGAGAACGAUGAAGAACGAACCAGAUGCUGCAAAAGUAUAAUGUUGAGGAAGAUCCGACAGAUCCGGCUCCUCCUCCGCUCUCCUCUUCUCUCUCCCUAUUUUCUAGAUUACAACUAGAACUAACUAGAACUAGAACUAGAAGAACUAGAACUAGAACUAGAUCUAGAUGAACUAGAGGUAGAACUAGAAGAACUAGAGGGAUCCUCUCUACUUGGAUGAAGAAAUUGAAACCCUAACUUUGAUUCUGUAGAAGAGGUAUGAUCUCCAGGGGCCAGGGGGUCUGGUUUUAUAGUCCCUUCAAGUGAAUCUGGGCCGUCGGAUCAAACCGACAUUGAUUGAACGGUUAUUGUUGAUCCUUUAGGUCGGUGGAGCAAUAUCCCGAAAGAGAGUCCUGAUUGGACUCUGGCUGAGGGCGGGCGCCCUGUCCCUGUGUCCUCUCGGCCUCCGCUUCGGUCCCGUGGCUUCUGGAGUCUUCUAGAUGAUAGAAAAUUACGCGGCACCUUAAUAUCUCUAUGUAAACCCGACGUGUGGGCCUUUCUUCCGUAUUUCCUGAUAACCCCCUGCAGAAAUAGACAAACACCAAAACUUGUGGAAUUCUGUCAGAUAAAACCCUAAGUCUAGGUGUUGAUUGUAUUUGGAUCCUUUUCUAUGAUUAGUUGAUGGUUAAAUGUGAGCAUUAAGGACCGUCAACAAGCUCCCCCAAGCUUAACCUUUGCUCGUCCCUGAGCAAAGAUGAACUCAAGAGUUUCUGCAGUGGUUUCAUAACUUAAAGAUACACAUGCAUUUAAACAAGAUCUCAUCUCUGGUUAGAGUAAACUGUUAAGACUUAAAACUUACUCAUUUACCUUUCACCAUGGGACUUGUAACCAUCACUUCUGUCUUGAGUAGUUAAAAGAUAGAACAGUCUAGUCAAGCACCAUGUCUCUUGUUCUUCGAUUAACUAUAGCUCUGGAGUUUUUGCAGAUUUUCAACUAAAACUCAGAGAUUCCUUGUAUGACUCUCUCUAGUCUCUCUUUUGUGGUAUUUCUGGAUCCUUACCAAGGCAGUAAUGGUAUAUGCCUUCUCUCAAAGUAUGUAGUAUUUUUGGUAUGGGGCAUAGUGGCAUUGCCUUCUCUCUCACCCUACUCUAAUAAGGUUUUGAUAUCUGGAGCUCAUAGGUGGGAGACAGCUAAUACAUACUUACAAGACAUUUAUUGCAUAGUCAAACCAUGGAUCCAGAAGAACAAGUCAAUAAGUCAAAUCAAGAUGUGCAUGUGUGGCGAAUGAAUGGUGUAUGGUGAUAACAAUGGUGAAAGUCUAAUUCUACUUAUGCUCUUUUAAGGGGAUACAUACCUUUCUUGCACUUUUGAAACUUUUUGAGGAGAAUGAGAUGCUCUAUGUUUUCUUUUUCUUUUCUCUCAGGUGGGUAUCUUGUACCCCUAAUUCUACUAUCGGACACUUGUCCAUUUUUACCUCUCGUCUCACUUUUUGUUUUCUUCGAGGUUCCGGGCACUUGCCCCUUUUUAUUUCCUCGUAUAUAUUUUUUUUUCUUUUUUUUAGAGCACUCAUCUCAUGAGAUAAUAUAGCAAGUGGUAGUAACAAGAUAACUUGAGCAUUUAUUUCACAGGGGAAAAACAGGAAUAUUUUUGGCUAUUCUCUCCCGGAUUAGGAGUAGAAUAUUUUUGGGUGGUUCUGGAGAUGGAAAUGGAUGGAUAUAUGUGGAUGGUACUUCCGGAGUAGAAGUAACAUAUAUGAGUGAACGUGCAAGUGAAAUCUUGAUUUAACCACAUGACAAGCUCCUAAGGGUCUACACAGCUUGACCACACUCAAUGCUCAUAGUAAAUGUGUGGCCCAAAGUCUAGCAAGCAUGUAUAUAUGGCUGUGGUAGGAAUUUAAACUCUCAUCAUACAGGAACUCAUCAUGCAACAUUUUAAAGAUUUUCAAAGAUAAAAUUCUCCAGAAUUCUAGCAUCUCUAGGAACAGAUAAACAGCAGCUCAACCUUCCCAUAUCGUAUCCAUUAACGACUUAGACUUUAGAUCAAGUACUCUCCCCACAAGUUCAGGUUUAGAGCAAAUCUUAAUUCAUAACAGUCAAGCCUAAACUUGAGAGAGAUUUUAAUUUUGAGAACUAGUCAUGGCAGAACAAUUAUUCAUCAUUUCCAUGUGAGAGCUAUCAUGAGGGUUCAUAGCAAACUUUAUUUAUUUAUUCAAUUAGCAAACUAAAAAAAGAUAUAUAUAAGCACGAAAUCUUUAUUUGAGUUUUUAUGAUUAUGCAUCUUUUUAUUAUUUGAGUAAAAUAUAAACAUGAGUUGAACACUUAGCUGGAUAAAUGGGGGUGCUCUCCCCCAAGCUGGAUUUCGACGUAAUUUCUUCUGAUGUAGCUAGCAGGUGGCGGAGGUGUAUUUGAAUGUCGGCAGCACCCUGACAGCGAUUAGGAUAUCCUCCGUCUCCUAGUCUUAUUUGAUCCUUGAAUUCUGUGGAGCUCAAAUAGACAACAAAGCUUUGUGGAACUGGUUAAGUGUUAGCAUAAAUAUCUAGCCUCUAUCAUGUUGAGCCUCCUCAAUAAAUGUUACUCAUUAGUAGGAUCAUAAUUUUAUUUUUAUAAUUUUAUUUUUAUAGGACAGGAAUAUAUUUAUUUUAUUUUUAUGCCACCACAGUGAAUGUACUUAUGGGUUUUAUGCCAUGAGCAUACUCACAUGGGGCUUACUAUUUUUAACAUUUUUAUUUUCUUUUUAAGAUGAUAUGAUCCUGAUUAACUAAAAUAUUUGAAAGGAAAAAGAUAACUACCAAGUUUACCUCUUGGCAAGGCGUUCGGUGUUUUUACGUCCUCGGAACGGGACUCUCUGUUUUCUCAGUUGUCCUGGGAUUCGCUGGAUGAAGUAGUCGGUGGUUCCGGUGGCGCCUGCUCUUUGUGUAUAACUAUCUUCUCUCGCCACACCUGACUCGGUGCUAUGGUCUCUUCAGGACAGUUCUGUUCAAGUUAUAUGUCUUCAGACUUUACUACUUCUCCUUCGUAGUCUGCCCAUCCGUCCUUGACGAUCUGCCUCCUCUGGUUGCGGUUGCAUUGUCUUCUUCUUGUCUUGACCUGCUUAGAGUCUUCAACUAUAUAGUUAGGGUUAGUAAAAUAGCGGCGUACCUUCUCAGAGGGGAAAUGCAUGUGGACUUCUCUAGUUCCAAUGUAGAUGAUUGCUUUAACGGUGCUGAGGAACGGUCUUCCAAGGAUGAUGGGUGGAUUGUACUCGUCUUCUCCCAUGUCAAUAACCUUCAAUCUUUUAGAAUGUCUGAUCUGCCAUCUGGAGCUGAAUGUAUGUUGGUUGUAGGGACAUGGUUCCAUGCAGGAGCUGAUAAGUGACUGCGGCCAUUAUGUUGACGUUAGAUCCGGUGUCAUAGAGUGUCUUCUGAAAAGAAUAUCCGUUGAUUGUGCACUCGAUGCUUGGAACACCAGGGUCGUCCUUCUUGAUAAAGAAAGGUGGCUUGAGUUGACGAUCUUGACCUCCUUGAGCUGCAGUGACCAACUUAGCUGACUCGGUACACAUUUGCUUGUUCCUAUUCCUCCUGUUGGUCCUCUUCCUUGGUUCAUGUCAGGAUUACUCUGAGAUUUGUAUAGUCUUGUUCUUGAAGGAAAACAUCUCCUUCCUUCCCUUGAUGUAGAAACUGAUCUUGGUAGCACUAGCGUAGAUGAUAGCUCCCGAGGUGUUCAGGAAUGGCCUCCCUAGAAUGAUGGGUGCCCUCUCAUCACCACCAGUCUCUAUCACCACGAAGUCUGCUGGAGCGUAUAAGGUACCAACUCGGAUGUAGAGGUUCUUCAAUAUUCUCUUUUGGAAACUUAGCGUCCGAUCUGCAAGCUGCAAACACAUGGUUGUUUCCAAUACAGGAUAUGUAAAGAUUUUUUCAUCGAGUACCCUUGGCAUAAUAUUGACGCUGGAGCCAAAGUUGCAGAGUGCUUAUAGGAAGUCCACCAUGCUGAUGGAGAUCGGGAUGACGGGAUGUCCUGGAUUGUAUCUCUUGACCCGUAGAAGGUCAGUAAUUACUUCCACCACGUGGUUACUCCAGUAGUUAUGUCCUCAAGCAUCUCAGGGCAGUGAUUGCCUGAGUGUCCAGUAUCUCCAGUGUGUUUGUGCUCGUAGAUCUAGGUUCUUCACUUGGUGGAGUCUGGCAGUUAUAAAGGUGCUUCAUAUUUCGCUCAAAAUGUACCUGCUCAUAGAGACAAGGCAGAGAUCAAGUGCAUGGGCCCUGUUGGUGGAAAACACCAACAGAACCAAAAGUGUAUUUGUUCUUCUCUAACCUUAAGCAUAGUGAGCAAGACAAAGUUGAUGGAUAAUAAGAUCAUGAGUAUAGCAUUUAAAGCAUUUGUCAGAUCAGAUCGCUCAACCUAAUGGAAAGAUAAUCAAUCUAUAUUUAUGUUUAUAUAUAUCUUAAAAAGAUUGAAUGUGCAACAUUUUAGUUCAUAUGAUUAGGAGUGUGGGAUCACAAAGGUGGACGGACUAAACAUAUUGAAUCGAUUGGGUUGGUUAAUCUAGAAUUGUAAAUCAUACAUGUUUGUCUCUUUUAUUCAUGUGAAUGCUAGAACCAAGGAGAAGCUUAUAGAAGUGAUAGUCAAGUACCUUAAGAUGUUACCUUACUUGAAGAGUGAUGGUACAGUAUCACCUUCUAGAAGCUUUCCUUUCCUAGCGGUUGUGCAUCGUGUUUGUAGCACCCUCCAUGGAUCAUCUCUUGUGAGCUAUGCCUUCCUUGUGUAAAUUGUUAAACUUCACGUGCCUCUCUCUUUGUCUCCAAUGUGAGUUUAUCUCAGGACUUCCCAGGUCGAUAUUGAAAGUUUUCCUGCAGGGGUUAGUCCAACAAAAUAUCCAGUAUCUACUAUAGCAUACUAUCGGCUCAAAGAUCAACCUAGACACCAUGUCUAAUUUGAUUUAGGAGGGCAUUUUAACCUAAGCAUCAUGCUUAAUUUAAACUCCCUUGGAAGUAAGAUCAUCAUUCCUAAACUAAGCACCAUGCUUAAUUAAGAGAUAAAAGAAACUACUCCAAACCUAGACAUAUACUAAAGCAAAUAAAGGUAGCAUG